RNAcentral lists this unclassified non-coding RNA (378 nucleotides) under plant metagenome. RNAcentral's name for it is "partial contains 5.8S ribosomal RNA, internal transcribed spacer 2, and large subunit ribosomal RNA". The stretch from base 1 to 105 matches the Rfam family "5.8S ribosomal RNA", at positions 50 to 154 of the family's 154-position model. The record is from RNAcentral.
GAACUGCGAUAAGUAAUGUGAAUUGCAGAAUUCAGUGAAUCAUCGAAUCUUUGAACGCACCUUGCGCUCCUUGGUAUUCCUUGGAGCAUGCCUGUUUGAGUAUCAUGAAAUCUUCAAAGUAAAUCUUUUGUUAACUCAAUUGGUUUCUACUUUGGUAUUGGAGGUCUUUGCAGCUUCACACCUGCUCCUCUUUGUUCAUUAGCUGGAUCUCAGUGUUAUGCUUGGUUCCACUCGGCGUGAUAAGUUAUCUAUCGCUGAGGACACUGUAAAAGGUGGCCAAGGUAAAUGCAGAUGAACCGCUUCUAAUAGUCCAUUGACUUGGACAAUACUUUUAUGAUCUGAUCUAAAAUCAGGUAGGACUACCCGCUGAACUUAAGC